RNAcentral lists this unclassified non-coding RNA (21 nucleotides) under Mus musculus (house mouse). RNAcentral describes it as "oocyte_clustered_small_RNA11766". The record is from RNAcentral. Lineage: Eukaryota; Metazoa; Chordata; Mammalia; Rodentia; Muridae.
AAUGCACAGUGAGCAGAGAGG